ACGGGUGAGUGAUACAUCGGAACGUAUCCUGGAGUGGGGGAUAGCCCGGCGAAAGCCGGAUUAAUACCGCAUACGCUCUGAGGAGGAAAGCGGGGGACCUUCGGGCCUCGCGCUCAAGGGGCGGCCGAUGGCGGAUUAGGUAGUUGGUGGGGUAAAGGCCUACCAAGCCGACGAUCCGUAGCUGGUCUGAGAGGACGACCAGCCACACUGGGACUGAGACACGGCCCAGACUCCUACGGGAGGCAGCAGUGGGGAAUUUUGGACAAUGGGGGCAACCCUGAUCCAGCAAUGCCGCGUGUGUGAAGAAGGCCUUCGGGUUGUAAAGCACUUUUGUCCGGAAAGAAAUCAUCGGGGCCAAUACCCCUGGUGGAUGACGGUACCGGAAGAAUAAGCACCGGCUAACUACGUGCCAGCAGCCGCGGUAAUACGUAGGGUGCGAGCGUUAAUCGGAAUUACUGGGCGUAAAGCGUGCGCAGGCGGUGCUGUAAGACCGAUGUGAAAUCCCCGGGCUUAACCUGGGAACUGCAUUGGUGACUGCAGCGCUGGAGUAUGGCAGAGGGGGGUGGAAUUCCACGU
Molecule: ribosomal RNA, 576 nt
Filed under: uncultured bacterium
Lineage: Bacteria
Description: bacterial SSU rRNA
Rfam family: Bacterial small subunit ribosomal RNA
Source: RNAcentral